CCUACGGGAGGCAGCAGUAGGGAAUAUUGCUCAAUGGGGGAAACCCUGAAGCAGCAACGCCGCGUGGAGGAUGAAGGUUUUCGGAUCGUAAACUCCUUUUGUUAGAGAAGAUAAUGACGGUAUCUAACGAAUAAGCACCGGCUAACUCCGUGCCAGCAGCCGCGGUAAUACGGAGGGUGCAAGCGUUACUCGGAAUCACUGGGCGUAAAGAGCGCGUAGGCGGGAUAGCAAGUCAGAUGUGAAAUCCUAUGGCUUAACCAUAGAACUGCAUUUGAAACUGUUAUUCUAGAGUAUGGGAGAGGUAGGUGGAAUUCUUGGUGGAGGGGUAAAAUCCGUAGAGAUCAAGAGGAAUACUCAUUGCGAAGGCGACCUGCUAGAACAUAACUGACGCUGAUGCGCGAAAGCGUGGGGAGCAAACAGGAUUAGAUACCCCAGUAGUC
Molecule: ribosomal RNA, 440 nt
Filed under: uncultured bacterium
Lineage: Bacteria
Description: partial 16S ribosomal RNA
Rfam family: Bacterial small subunit ribosomal RNA
Source: RNAcentral